RNAcentral lists this ribosomal RNA (253 nucleotides) under uncultured bacterium. RNAcentral's name for it is "partial 16S ribosomal RNA". It matches the Rfam family "Bacterial small subunit ribosomal RNA", at positions 524 to 776 of the family's 1533-position model. The record is from RNAcentral.
UACGGAGGGUGCAAGCGCUAUCCGGAUUCACUGGGUUUAAAGGGUGCGUAGGUGGGUCUGUAAGUCAGUGGUGAAAUCUCCAAGCUUAACUUGGAAACUGCCGUUGAUACUAUAGACCUUGAAUGCUGUGGAGGUGAGCGGAAUAUGUCAUGUAGCGGUGAAAUGCUUAGAUAUGACAUAGAACACCAAUUGCGAAGGCAGCUCACUACCCAGAUAUUGACACUGAGGCACGAAAGCGUGGGGAUCAAACAGG